GCCGCAGUAUUUUAACUGUGCAAAGGUAGCAUAAUCAUUUGUCUCUUAAUUAGAGGCUUGUAUGAAUGGCUGGAUGAGGAAUUAACUUUCUUUAUUUUAUUUUAUUGAAUUUUAUUUUUUAGUUAAAAAGCUGAAAUUUUUUUAUUAGACGAGAAGACCCUAUAGAACUUUAUUUUAAUUUAUAUUUUUAUAUUUUUGGUUUAUUUGUAUAUAUUAUUUAUUAUUAUUUUGUUGGGGUGACAGGUAAAUUUUUUUAACUUUACUUUUUUUAUUUCAUUUAUUUAUGAUUUUUUUGAUCCAUUUAUUUAUGAUUAUAAGUUUAAGUUACCUUAGGGAUAACAGCGUAAUUUUAUUGGAGAGUUCUUAUUUAUAAUAAAGUUUGCGACCUCGAUGUUGGAUUAAA
This 403-nucleotide ribosomal RNA is filed under the name Anthocoris confusus. RNAcentral's name for it is "partial 16S ribosomal RNA". The record is from RNAcentral. Lineage: Eukaryota; Metazoa; Arthropoda; Insecta; Hemiptera; Anthocoridae.